AUUACGAGCUAAAACUUAAAACCCAAAGGACUUGACGGUGUCCCACUCCCCCUAGAGGAGCCUGUGCUAUAAUCGACUAUACCCGCUAAACCCAACUGCUUUUUGUUAUCAGCUUGUAUACUUCCGUCGUAAGCUCACCAUGUUGAAAGAUAUAUAGUAAGCCCAAAGGGUCACCCCCAACACGUCAGGUCAAGGUGCAGCCAAUAAAGCAGACAGUAAUGGGCUACAGUUUCUAUGAUAGAACCAACGAAAAGCCAUAUGAAAUACGGCCACGAAGCAGGAUUUAGAAGUAAAAAGAAAAUAAAGUGUUCUUUUUAACUAGGUACUGGGACGCGUACAAACCGCCCGUCACCCUCUUCACUUAUACCUAAUAGCUCUAUAACCCCUAAAUCAUACACUAGAA
Molecule: ribosomal RNA, 403 nt
Filed under: Breviceps mossambicus (Mozambique rain frog)
Lineage: Eukaryota; Metazoa; Chordata; Amphibia; Anura; Brevicipitidae
Description: partial small subunit ribosomal RNA
Rfam family: Bacterial small subunit ribosomal RNA
Source: RNAcentral